GCUUAACACAUGCAAGUCGAGGGGUAUAGUUCUUCGGAACUAGAGACCGGCGCACGGGUGCGUAACGCGUAUGCAAUCUACCUUAUACAGGGGGAUAGCCCAGAGAAAUUUGGAUUAAUGCCCCAUAGUAUUACGAAACGGCAUCGUUUUGUGAUUAAAGUUCCAACGGUAUAAGAUGAGCAUGCGUCCCAUUAGUUAGUUGGUAAGGUAACGGCUUACCAAGGCGAUGAUGGGUAGGGGUCCUGAGAGGGAGAUCCCCCACACUGGUACUGAGACACGGACCAGACUCCUACGGGAGGCAGCAGUGAGGAAUAUUGGUCAAUGGGCGCAAGCCUGAACCAGCCAUGCCGCGUGCAGGAAGAAUCAUCUAUGGUGUGUAAACUGCUUUUAUACAGGAAGAAACCUCCCUACGAGUAGGGACUUGACGGUACUGUAGGAAUAAGGAUCGGCUAACUCCGUGCCAGCAGCCGCGGUAAUAC
This 479-nucleotide ribosomal RNA is filed under the name uncultured Flavobacterium sp. RNAcentral's name for it is "bacterial SSU rRNA". It matches the Rfam family "Bacterial small subunit ribosomal RNA", at positions 46 to 526 of the family's 1533-position model. Lineage: Bacteria; Pseudomonadati; Bacteroidota; Flavobacteriia; Flavobacteriales; Flavobacteriaceae. The record is from RNAcentral.